CCUACGGGAGGCAGCAGUGGGGAAUAAUGCACAAUGGGAGAAACCCUGAUGCAGCGACGCCGCGUGAGUGAAGAAGUAUUUCGGUAUGUAAAGCUCUAUCAGCAGGGAAGAAAAUGACGGUACCUGAUUAAGAAGCCCCGGCUAACUACGUGCCAGCAGCCGCGGUAAUACGUAGGGGGCAAGCGUUAUCCGGAUUUACUGGGUGUAAAGGGAGCGUAGACGGCAGCACAAGUCUGGAGUGAAAUGCCGGGGCUUAACCCCGGAACUGCUUUGGAAACUGUGCAGCUAGAGUGCAGGAGAGGUAAGUGGAAUUACUAGUGUAGCGGUGAAAUGCGUAGAUAUUAGGAGGAACACCAGUGGCGAAGGCGGGUUACUGGACUGUAACUGACGUUGAGGCUCGAAAGCGUGGGGAGCAAACAGGAUUAGAUACCCUAGUAGUC
Molecule: ribosomal RNA, 440 nt
Filed under: uncultured bacterium
Lineage: Bacteria
Description: partial 16S ribosomal RNA
Rfam family: Bacterial small subunit ribosomal RNA
Source: RNAcentral